AAGAGUAACAACAAAGAAGCCGCUAACUAUCUUGAAAGUGUUUAAUCACUUUACUCUUA
Molecule: transfer RNA, 59 nt
Filed under: Loxocephala perpunctata
Lineage: Eukaryota; Metazoa; Arthropoda; Insecta; Hemiptera; Eurybrachidae
Description: tRNA-Ser
Source: RNAcentral